UAGUUGCCUGAAAAGCUUAGCAGAAUUUUGCUCCUCAAAAGAACUCACAGAAACACAGAAAGGCCCAGGGGGAGUCUUUUGCUGCUGGAAACAACUCUGCCUGGGACCCAGAAUCCAGAAAUGGGUGUCCCUGACCCAGGCAGGCAGAGAGAGGGAUUUUCACCAGUGCAAAUGCAAGAGGAAUGUUGGGAACACAGCUUGGCUAAAGGUAAGGGAAAGGUAAGGAAAGUAUUGUCCAGCACCUGCUAUGUUCUGGAUGCUGUACUUUGCAGAGAGAUAGUCUCAUGUAACCCUCACAACACCCCUAGGAGUUGAGCAUUGUUGUUAUUUCCAUUUU
RNAcentral lists this long non-coding RNA (337 nucleotides) under Canis lupus familiaris (dog). RNAcentral's name for it is "lncRNA (ENSCAFG00000045267.2)". The record is from RNAcentral. Lineage: Eukaryota; Metazoa; Chordata; Mammalia; Carnivora; Canidae.